Molecule: transfer RNA, 72 nt
Filed under: Archaeoglobales archaeon
Lineage: Archaea; Methanobacteriati; Methanobacteriota; Archaeoglobi; Archaeoglobales
Also listed under: 1 other name
Description: tRNA-Trp
Rfam family: tRNA
About the family: Transfer RNA (tRNA) molecules are approximately 80 nucleotides in length.
Source: RNAcentral
GGGUGGAUAGGUUGAAUGGUAAACUGUCGGGCUCCAAACCCGAAGCUCCAGGUUCGAGUCCUGGUCCACCUG